GGGGGUAUAACUCAGUGGGAGAGUACUUGCCUAACAUAUAUAAGGUCCUGGGUUCAAUUCCCAGCACAGCCA
Molecule: transfer RNA, 72 nt
Filed under: Heterocephalus glaber (naked mole-rat)
Lineage: Eukaryota; Metazoa; Chordata; Mammalia; Rodentia; Bathyergidae
Rfam family: tRNA
About the family: Transfer RNA (tRNA) molecules are approximately 80 nucleotides in length. Their secondary structure includes four short double-helical elements and three loops (D, anti-codon, and T loops). Further hydrogen bonds mediate the characteristic L-shaped molecular structure. tRNAs have two regions of fundamental functional importance: the anti-codon, which is responsible for specific mRNA codon recognition, and the 3' end, to which the tRNAs corresponding amino acid is attached (by aminoacyl-tRNA synthetases). tRNAs cope with the degeneracy of the genetic code in two manners: having more than one tRNA (with a specific anti-codon) for a particular amino acid; and 'wobble' base-pairing, i.e. permitting non-standard base-pairing at the 3rd anti-codon position.
Source: Rfam by way of RNAcentral